AGACGACACGGCUGGAGCUGCAGAGUACAUAGCUACCAACAACCUUCGUGACACAGCAGCCAUAGCUAGCGCACGAGCAGCAGAGCUCUAUGGACUACAGAUACUGGCCGAUGGAAUCCACGACGACUCAAACAAUGUGACACGGUUCGUGAUGUUGGCCCGUGAGCCGAUAAUCCCGCGCACGGACCGACCAUUCAAGACGAGCAUCGUAUUCGCACACGAGAAAGGGACGAGCGUGCUUUUUAAAGUGCUAUCAGCUUUCGCGUUUCGUAACAUCAGCUUAACAAAGAUCGAAUCACGGCCACGCCGAAGCUGCCCUAUUAGGCUAGUAGACAAUGCAAAUAUCGGCACAGCAAAGCACUUCGAGUACAUGUUUUAUGUAGAUUUCGAAGCGUCAAUGGCAGAUGUUAGGGCACAAAACGCAUUGGCGGAGGUGCAAGAGUUCACGUCUUUCUUGAGGGUGUUGGGCAGCUAUCCAAUGGACAUGACCCCUUGGUGCCCA
This 502-nucleotide unclassified non-coding RNA is filed under the name Hevea brasiliensis (rubber tree). Lineage: Eukaryota; Viridiplantae; Streptophyta; Magnoliopsida; Malpighiales; Euphorbiaceae. The record is from RNAcentral.